AUACACUCUGCUUCUGACUUGCUAGUAGUCUUUACCUAGGUACUGUCAGGGCACGCCCUCAUACUCUGCUUCUGACUGGCUAGUAGUCCUUAGGUACUGUCAGGGCACGCCCUCAUACUCUGCUUCUGACUGGCUAGUAGUCCUUAGGUACUGUCAGGGCACGCCUUCAUACUCUGCUUCAGACUGACUAUAGUCCUUAGGUACUGUCAGGGCACGCCCUCAUACUCUGCUUCUGACUGGCUAGUAGUCCUUACCUAGUUGCUGCACAUGUAAGACUCUCAACAAAGAUGGAAGAGAAGUGACUCAUGUCUCAUUCUUUAGCUGAAACAGAGAGCUUAACAACAAACAGGGUGAAGAGAGGAGCU
Molecule: long non-coding RNA, 365 nt
Organism: Etheostoma cragini (Arkansas darter)
Lineage: Eukaryota; Metazoa; Chordata; Actinopteri; Perciformes; Percidae
Exons: 4
Source: RefSeq, a predicted model, not a curated record